RNAcentral lists this non-coding RNA (17 nucleotides) under Sclerotinia trifoliorum. The record is from RNAcentral. Lineage: Eukaryota; Fungi; Ascomycota; Leotiomycetes; Helotiales; Sclerotiniaceae.
UACCUCUAUUUAUCUUC